AUUUAACCCACGCUGACGGAUGCUCCUCGCCAGUCCGUUAAUCACCCCUCAGGGGGUACGAUCCGGGGUUUGUGCCUGCCACCUGCCUGUCCUCUUGCUUGCUUGGAUCACCCAGUGCAUCAUCUGUCCUCAUCCCUGCCUCCUCGGAUUCGUUUCCCAUGGACACACUUCCCCCCCCUUCCGAGUCCCACAGUCCUGCUCUGAUCCCUCCCACGGUCCUGAUUACGGCUUCCCUGUGUCGUUUAUCUUCUCGGUUUUUCUUCAGUUCCUCGUUUUGUUUCUUUGAUUGUUCCGGGUCACCUUUUGUUAAAGCAAUAAACUGUUUUCUUGCUC
Oreochromis aureus is the source of this 333-nucleotide long non-coding RNA. RefSeq lists it as uncharacterized. The transcript has 3 exons. The record is from RefSeq and is a predicted model, not a curated record. NCBI's taxonomy places the organism in Eukaryota, Metazoa, Chordata, Actinopteri, Cichliformes, Cichlidae.